Molecule: long non-coding RNA, 2068 nt
Organism: Fukomys damarensis (Damara mole-rat)
Lineage: Eukaryota; Metazoa; Chordata; Mammalia; Rodentia; Bathyergidae
Source: Ensembl
UUCCCUUUUCACAUGAAGUUCUGACUUCCUUGAUAACUGGGACUAAAAUAAGAUCUCAAGACACAAGGCUAGGGCUAGGAAGGAACUAGGGAUUUUUUUCUCUCCUCCUGAGAGCAAAGGACCUCUUCCAUUCAGGCCCAUCAGGGGCACUGAGCACCUCCCAGCUGGCCCUGGCAGGGCAGCCCAGGGUGUCAGCUUUGCUCUUGCUCAGCCCCCUCUGUGCUGAGGUCCACAGGGCAUACCUCUCCUCUACCUGCAGCUCCGGGAAGUAGCUCUGAUUCGGAAAGGGAAGGAGAAAGGCCUGAAGCCUCCCUCUGCCUCAUCUGUCCCUAAGAAGUGGCUAAGUAGGCACAGUGGGCAAAGGAGGCUGAGUGACUGCUCAGAGCCGGCAGGGGGGAGCACAGGGCUUCAUCUGUGUGACUGCAGUUCUUCCUGCUGCUGCCCAUGGACACCAGAACUUCAUCGGUGGACCACAGCACGAAGAGAGAAAAAAAAGCCUCAUAUUCAAUCGAAAACAGUGCCAGCAUUUUUAAAGUCGAGUGGAGAUAAAACAGAUGGUCCUCUGAGAAAAAUACUCCAAAGCCAUCUCACCUUAAAUUAUCUUGUGUUGAGCUCCCUUGACAAAGGCCUCCUGAGAAUGUUGCUUAGACGAAAGAAGAAUCAAAAACACAGACUCCGUGAAGAAUAUAAGAGAAAAUAAAUGGAGACACAGGAUGAGAUUCAGAGUUCCAAUUGGACACCGGCAUUCACAGUGGCACAAUUCAGUGAUAGCCAGAGGUGGAAGCAAUCUAAAUGCCCAUCCUCAGAGGAAAAGAUGAACAAAGUGUGUCGUAGAUGCACAAUGGAAUAUUAUCCAGCCUGAGAAAGGAAAUUCUGACCCCUGCUGCAGCCUGGGUGGACCUCGAGGGCAUGAUGCUGCAUGAAGUAAACCAGGCACAAAAGGGAAAAUACUGUGUGAUUCUAUUUCUACGAGACACCAAAAAUAGUCAAAUUCGUAGAGACAGAAAGUAGAAUGGUGGUUUCCUGGGCUGGGGGAGGGGGAACAGAAAAUUGUUGUUUAAAGGGUACAGAGUUUCAGUUUGGCAAAAUGAAAAAGUUCUAGCAAUAGUUGCCUGUGAGCAACAACAAUGUACUUAACACUACUGAAACGUACACCCCGAAAUGCUUACUUAGGUGCGUUUUAUCUUCUGUAUAUUUUCCACGAUGAACAUGAUUUUAAAUUAAAAUUUGGAAUAAAGAAUAUGAGUGACUAAGGCUUCCCUUCCUUGUCACAUGUGUGUAUAUCCUCUUCUCCAAGAACCAUAGUGUGAGUUUCCUGCCUCCAAAUGUAGCUAGGCCUCCAUUUCCACACCCUCAUCUUUGAAAGAGGGAGAAAGCAGCUCUGCCCCCAUUUGACUUGUGGAAAAACCAAGAGUCAGGGAUGUUAAGAGACUUCCCAGACCGCAGAGUCACAGGGUCUGCUCCCAGUGAUGAGUACCUGGUGGAGCCUUUGUAGAUUUACAGCCCCAAAGGGCCGAGAUAACGGAGCCAACAGCAAAGUCUGCCCAUGGGGAAAAUGGAAAGCGCUAGGACCCAUUUUCCAACAGGAGUUCUAAAACCUGCGGCCAAGCACAGCCCAGCAGGAUUUCACAUUCCCUCGUGUAAAUAAAUGUGAUGCCCAGGCUCUCUGCUCGGCUCAGCACCCCUCCUGCUCCUGGUUACCCCCAGAGUGCUGGGCAGUGAAGGGUUCAAGAUGCAGAAUCCGAAAAGCAAUUGUAAAAUGAGGAGAGGUGCAGAGAUGGGAAAAGGACCUGGGUGAGCACAGAGAUCCCACACCUGCUCAGGGAAUGGAACCAGCGGCUGAGACCAGGACAGGUGGGUGGCGGCCAGAGGUGACCACAUGUGUUUCAUGUGCAAAGUCCCAGGACACAAACAUUCUGUCUCCCACAUCCCACUUUUUCUUGGCCCUGGAUCGUGUCCAUUUUGCUGUGAGUGUGUUGUUCCAUCUCCCUCUGAAGCAGGCCCCUGGACCCCACACCUGCCUCUGUACCUCCUUUUGUUAGUUUACAGGGUUACCAUAACAAAGCAC